UACGGAGGGUGCAAGCGUUAAUCGGAAUUACUGGGCGUAAAGCGUACGUAGGCGGCUUGUUAAGCAAGAUGUGAAAUCCCCGGGCUCAACCUGGGAAUGACAUUUUGAACUGGCAGGCUCGAGUUCUGAAGAGGGUGGUAGAAUUUCCAGUGUAGCGGUGAAAUGCGUAGAUAUUGGAAGGAAUACCGGUGGCGAAGGCGGCCACCUGGUCAGAAACUGACGCUGAGGUACGAAAGCGUGGGGAGCAAACAGG
RNAcentral lists this ribosomal RNA (253 nucleotides) under uncultured microorganism. RNAcentral describes it as "partial 16S ribosomal RNA". It matches the Rfam family "Bacterial small subunit ribosomal RNA", at positions 524 to 776 of the family's 1533-position model. The record is from RNAcentral.